RNAcentral lists this ribosomal RNA (770 nucleotides) under uncultured Vagococcus sp. Its description in RNAcentral is "bacterial SSU rRNA". It matches the Rfam family "Bacterial small subunit ribosomal RNA", at positions 28 to 776 of the family's 1533-position model. Lineage: Bacteria; Bacillati; Bacillota; Bacilli; Lactobacillales; Enterococcaceae. The record is from RNAcentral.
GACGAACGCUGGCGGCGUGCCUAAUACAUGCAAGUCGAACGCACGAAGUUGAAGAGCUUGCUCUUUAACCAAGUGAGUGGCGGACGGGUGAGUAACACGUGGGUAACCUGCCCAUUAGAGGGGGAUAACAUUCGGAAACGGAUGCUAAUACCGCAUAGUUUCAGGGAUCGCAUGAUUCUUGAAGGAAAGGUGGCUUCGGCUACCACUAAUGGAUGGACCCGCGGCGUAUUAGCUAGUUGGUGAGGUAUGGCUCACCAAGGCAAUGAUACGUAGCCGACCUGAGAGGGUGAUCGGCCACACUGGGACUGAGACACGGCCCAGACUCCUACGGGAGGCAGCAGUAGGGAAUCUUCCGCAAUGGACGAAAGUCUGACGGAGCAACGCCGCGUGAGUGAAGAAGGUUUUCGGAUCGUAAAACUCUGUUGUUAAAGAAGAACAAGGAUGAGAGUAACUGCUCAUCCCCUGACGGUAUUUAACCAGAAAGCCACGGCUAACUACGUGCCAGCAGCCGCGGUAAUACGUAGGUGGCAAGCGUUGUCCGGAUUUAUUGGGCGUAAAGCGAGCGCAGGCGGUUCUUUAAGUCUGAUGUGAAAGCCCCCGGCUCAACCGGGGAGGGUCAUUGGAAACUGGAGAACUUGAGUGCAGAAGAGGAGAGUGGAAUUCCACGUGUAGCGGUGAAAUGCGUAGAUAUGUGGAGGAACACCAGUGGCGAAGGCGACUCUCUGGUCUGUAACUGACGCUGAGGCUCGAAAGCGCGGGGAGCAAACAGG